AUGCUAUGAUGUUUUCUCACGAUGGUCUUCUGAAAUAAUUAUCUGAAGACAAUGCCAAUAGGCUUUGCUGAGCACAUCUG
This is a small nucleolar RNA of Saccostrea echinata, 80 nucleotides long. RefSeq annotates it as small nucleolar RNA SNORD35. The record is from RefSeq and is a predicted model, not a curated record. NCBI's taxonomy places the organism in Eukaryota, Metazoa, Mollusca, Bivalvia, Ostreida, Ostreidae. The transcript has a single exon.